This is a non-coding RNA of Neolamprologus brichardi, 457 nucleotides long. The record is from RefSeq and is a predicted model, not a curated record. NCBI's taxonomy places the organism in Eukaryota, Metazoa, Chordata, Actinopteri, Cichliformes, Cichlidae.
UUCUGUCUCUAGAGAGGUGACAAGAUAUGUGGGAACCCCUGCCCAAUUUGUCGUGAUCCAAACAUCAUCAUUCACCAUCAGAAUGUCAAGUUGUUGCAGCAAUUCAUUAGUCCCCACACUGGACUGGUGUUUGACUCCACUCGAACUGGUGUGUGUAUGAAACAGCAGAAGAAGCUAAACGAGGCAGUUGACACAGCACAAGAUCACGGUGGGUAAAUCGUGAUCGCCUUAGCUGCCACUCAUCUCCGCCAGAGCACUUUAUAACACUUAUACUGCACUUUAUAGUGCAUUUAUAGCACUUUUUUUUAAAUAAGCACACCUUCUUGCACUAAUCUUUUCUAGUGCAACAACUACCAUCUUCUGUGCAACCCAUCUGGAUUUGUCUUUAACGUCCAGCUUAGCUACAUGCUAGCUAACUGGCUCAGUCUUAAAGUAUAGUUUCAGGCUACAAGUUAAG